UAAAAAGCACAAUAUGCUCCUAAGAUUUACUGGUUGAUCUUGCAAGUAAACAUUAUUGAAACCAGCGAUUGUUUACCAAAAAUCAGUGUAAACAACAACACAGAAAAAGAAAUUGCCACCAGCUAACUUGGACUUAUCAAACACAAGAAUGACUUAGCUAAAGUCGUUAUCAGAUUAAUAUAUGGAUAUAUUUUACCCAGGAAAUAUAAGAGAUGUAAAUCAAUCAGCUGAGAUGAUCCUUAUGGAAGGCUUCUGACAAACCUGUUCUAUCCAUGUCAAAAAUUCAAAUGAUAGAAUCUGUUGAAAUAUUUGACAUCCUUCGAAUUUCAUAUGCACAAGCCUUCACAGCUCAGAAUAUGUUAAAAAUGAAGGUAAUAAAUGACGUAGUAGUUUGUGAUAAGGAUUUCUGCAUCAGAAACACAAAUCCUAUCAUCAACAAAGAUUUUCCAAUCAUCUCCAAGCUAUAUUGUAAAGAGUUCAUUGAGGAAUUCAUCUUAGAAGAAAGAAGAAUAUGAGAUUUCAUCAAUCCAGAUCAUAUCCCAGACGCUCCACCCAACUUCCACAAUGAAUCUCGUAGAAGGAACAUUUGGACAGAAAUAACUCGGGAGUUUUUUAAUUAAUUUUUUUUUAUUAAAGCAUUACAUUUACAUGUGACAUUUUUAUUUAUUUUUAAAUUAAAAAUUACACAUAUUGUGUAACAGCCCGUUUUUCGCUAGAAUUAUUUUAAUUAUUUAUUAUAUGUGGUUGUAUGUGCUUGUGUCUGUUUAUUUGUCUCUGUGUAUUUUAUUCGGGAU
This 794-nucleotide long non-coding RNA is filed under the name Medicago truncatula (barrel medic). RNAcentral's name for it is "long non-coding RNA (MTRU_LNC007474)". The record is from RNAcentral. Lineage: Eukaryota; Viridiplantae; Streptophyta; Magnoliopsida; Fabales; Fabaceae.